CCCCGGUACGCCGGGGAGGUCGGUGCCUGGGCGCUGCCGCUGCCCACCAUCGACCCGCAGGUGGUCGUGCGUUCGGCACGCGCGCUGGAAC
This 91-nucleotide transfer RNA is filed under the name Streptomyces lacrimifluminis. RNAcentral's name for it is "tRNA-Gly". Lineage: Bacteria; Bacillati; Actinomycetota; Actinomycetes; Kitasatosporales; Streptomycetaceae. The record is from RNAcentral.